This 492-nucleotide ribosomal RNA is filed under the name uncultured bacterium. Its description in RNAcentral is "partial 16S ribosomal RNA". It matches the Rfam family "Bacterial small subunit ribosomal RNA", at positions 29 to 507 of the family's 1533-position model. The record is from RNAcentral.
AGUGAACGCUGGCGGUAGGCCUAACACAUGCAAGUCGAACGGCAGCACAGUAAGAGCUUGCUCUUACGGGUGGCGAGUGGCGGACGGGUGCGGAAUACUUCGGAAUCUACUUUUUCGUGGGGGCUAACGUAGGGAAACUUACGCUAAUACCGCAUACGACCUACGGGUGAAAGCAGGGGAUCUUCGGACCUUGCGCGAUUGAAUGAGCCGAUCUCGGAGUAGCUAGUUGGCGGGGUAAAGGCCCACCAAGGCGACGAUCCGUAGCUGGUCUGAGAGGAUGAUCAGCCACACUGGAACUGAGACACGGCCCAGACUCCGACGGGAGGCAGCAGUGGGGAAUAUUGGACAAUGGGCGCAAGCCUGAUCCAGCCAUACCGCGUGGGUGAAGAAGGCCUUCGGGUUGUAAAGCCCUUUUGUUGGGAAAGAAAAGCAGCAGGUUAAUACCCCGCUGUUCUGACGGUACCCAAAGAAUAAGCACCGGCUAACUUCGUG